RNAcentral lists this microRNA precursor (61 nucleotides) under Heliconius melpomene (postman butterfly). Its description in RNAcentral is "Hme-Mir-988_pre stem-loop". Lineage: Eukaryota; Metazoa; Arthropoda; Insecta; Lepidoptera; Nymphalidae. The record is from RNAcentral.
GUGUGCGUUGUAGCAAAGGAGAUCAAAUGGUUGUACCAUCCCCUUGUUACAAACCUCACUU